Long non-coding RNA from Gasterosteus aculeatus aculeatus (three-spined stickleback), 581 nucleotides. The record is from Ensembl. Lineage: Eukaryota; Metazoa; Chordata; Actinopteri; Perciformes; Gasterosteidae.
GGAAAAUAUAGAGGACAUCCGUCUGCUAGAAGACACUUAAUACAUACACAUGAACACCUACACAUGCUAGAACACGCACAGACGCCACAUUGGCUGAGAACACGUAUACCCACUAUGCCUCCUGUCUCCUUCAAUUCACUCAUGUGACUCCCUUUCCAAGGGCUGACUGCUGGGAUCAGUUGCCAUGGCAACCACUGAUCAUAUGAGGGUUACUCACCCUGUGAGCAUUUCCUUUCUCUUUUUUUUCUCUCGCCUCCUCCUCUUUUUGCACCUACUGGCGUUCUGCACUACGUGGCUGUGAUUCAGCCACUGAAGUAAAAUAAUUGCCCCCCCAAAACACAAUUUAGCAAGGUUGGUUUUCGCCUCAUGCAAACGCAGUGUAUAAUACUUUUCAUUCAUGCAACAGGAGACACAAUAUUCCGUUGGAGGGGCUCCAGUGCAUCAUCAGACACAGCCUUCCAUCUCUUGACCUUGAGCUGGCAGAGACCCUUAUCUCAGACCUCAGGAGAGACGGGUUGCCAGGUCACAAAAUAAACAUGCUGACGAAAGCCGGCGGGUAUAAAAGGAUCCGCGUCUCGAGG